AGCGAACGCUGGCGGCAGGCCUAACACAUGCAAGUCGAACGGAUCCUCCGGGAUUAGUGGCGGACGGGUGAGUAACACGUGGGAACGUGCCCUUUGGUUCGGAACAACUCAGGGCAACUUAAGCUAAUACCGGAUGUGCCCUUAGGGGGAAAGAUUUAUCGCCAUUGGAGCGGCCCGCGUCUGAUUAGCUAGUUGGUGAGGUAACGGCCCGCCAAGGCGACGAUCAGUAGCUGGUCUGAGAGGAUGAUCAGCGACACUGGGACUGAGACACGGCCCAGACUCCUACGGGAGGCAGCAGUGGGGAAUCUUGCGCAAUGGGCGAAAGCCUGACGCAGCCAUGCCGCGUGAAUGAUGAAGGUCUUAGGAUUGUAAAAUUCUUUCAGCGGGGACGAUAAUGACGGUACCCGCAGAAGAAGCUCCGGCUAACUUCGUG
This 433-nucleotide ribosomal RNA is filed under the name uncultured bacterium. RNAcentral's name for it is "partial 16S ribosomal RNA". It matches the Rfam family "Bacterial small subunit ribosomal RNA", at positions 29 to 507 of the family's 1533-position model. The record is from RNAcentral.